UGCAUCAGACAGACUUGGUGCUCACCCU
This 28-nucleotide non-coding RNA is filed under the name Mus musculus (house mouse). The record is from RNAcentral. Lineage: Eukaryota; Metazoa; Chordata; Mammalia; Rodentia; Muridae.